Molecule: ribosomal RNA, 254 nt
Filed under: uncultured bacterium
Lineage: Bacteria
Description: partial 16S ribosomal RNA
Rfam family: Bacterial small subunit ribosomal RNA
Source: RNAcentral
UACGUAGGGGGCUAGCGUUGUCCGGAUUUACUGGGCGUAAAGGGCGCGUAGGCGGCCACCGCAAGUCAGUUGUGAAAUCUCUGGGCUUAACCCAGAAAGGUCAACUGAUACUGCGGGGCUAGAGUGCAGAAGGGGCAACUGGAAUUCUCGGUGUAGCGGUGAAAUGCGUAGAUAUGUGGAGGAACACCGAUGGCGAAGGCAGCCCCCUGGGUUAACACUGACGCUCAUGCACGAAAGCGUGGGGAGCAAACAGG